This 396-nucleotide ribosomal RNA is filed under the name Triticum aestivum (bread wheat). RNAcentral's name for it is "partial small subunit ribosomal RNA". The record is from RNAcentral. Lineage: Eukaryota; Viridiplantae; Streptophyta; Magnoliopsida; Poales; Poaceae.
AUGGCUACGGUGUGCGCUGGACCCUGCGGCGCGUUGGAGCAUGGUGGCCGACAGCCGACAGAAAGAGUGAUCGAUACCUCCCCGUUAUUUACCUUUGAUCUUCCGUUUCCCGAUCUGGUUCUUCAUCCUUUUGUGUUUUUGUUGGAUGAAUCUAGUCAUUGGGUGCUGUUGCUCGCAGGCUGCGGCCAUGGAAGAUCCUGGAGGAAGAUUGACGCCAGCGGAUGCCGAUCUUGUACAGAGCAAUCGAGGAUCCCGUCCCACAGCGCUGACCUGACGGCCUACCCUGUCAGUAGCCUCGCUCAUGCGGGCGUUACAGUUCGUCUCGCCCGUCUAUACCAUGGGAUCGGAGGCCAGGACGCCAUUUCCAAAUUUCCAAGCAUGGUGGCUGGAGCGUGA